GAUGAACGCUGGCGGCGUGCCUAAUACAUGCAAGUCGAGCGAACAGACGAGGAGCUUGCUCCUCUGACGUUAGCGGCGGACGGGUGAGUCACACGUGGAUAACCUCCCUAUAAGACUGGGAUAACUUCGGGAAACCGGAGCUAAUACCGGAUAAUAUAUUGAACCGCAUGGUUCAAUAGUGAAAGACGGUUUUGCUGUCACUUAUAGAUGGAUCCGCGCCGCAUUGGCUAGUUGGUAAGGUAACGGCUUACCAAGGCAACGAUGCGUAGCCGACCUGAGAGGGUGAUCGGCCACACUGGAACUGAGACACGGUCCAGACUCCUACGGGAGGCAGCAGUAUGGAAUCUUCCGCAAUGGGCGAAAGCCUGACGGAGCAACGCCGCGUGAGUGAUGACGGUCUUCGGAUCGUAAAACUCUGUUAUUAGGGAAGAACAAAUGUGUAAGUAACUAUGCACGUCUUGACGGUACCUAAUCAGAAAGCCACGGCUAACUACGUG
Molecule: ribosomal RNA, 497 nt
Filed under: uncultured bacterium
Lineage: Bacteria
Description: partial 16S ribosomal RNA
Rfam family: Bacterial small subunit ribosomal RNA
Source: RNAcentral